Molecule: long non-coding RNA, 493 nt
Organism: Arabidopsis lyrata subsp. lyrata
Lineage: Eukaryota; Viridiplantae; Streptophyta; Magnoliopsida; Brassicales; Brassicaceae
Exons: 2
Source: RefSeq, a predicted model, not a curated record
UACACGUGAAAACGAAGGCGAUGAAAUGAUUAUUCCUCUGAUCAGAUUUGCCAAUAAAAGAGUGUAGGGAGGUAAAUAACAUUCUUAAUUUUUCAAUGGGUCUAUAAGAGUCUAUAGAUGAUUUGGCGUAGAGAUGAAUACAAAUUUCUGAAUAUUGAUGCAGAUAUCCAGAACAUUUUCACUGCCUUCGACUGUUCUCAGAUCAUUAUUAACCAUCCAUUACAGAGGUUUGAGGAAUUUAAAACUGCAUUCAAGACCUAAAAUAAGGAGUUAUCUACUCCUAACUAUAGAUCUAAUGAUUUUAAUGUUUUUGCUAAUCUCAUUGUCAUCUUUCCCCUAGGUUUUACUAAUAGUAGUGCAAACCAUUAAAGCUACAAUGUCCACUUUGAUCUACAGCAUCAUCUACAAGUAGAGAAAGGGGUAUUGUUGAGGCAACUAAGCACCCAAGCAAGAAGCAUUGGACUAAGUAAUGAAGGAUAAGAACAUUUAGGAU